CGCUCACUUCUGGGGGACGUGUCGGUGUUUACGUUAGCAGCAGGGAGCUAACGCUAGCUAGCUGUUAGUUUAUGUUUAAAGUUGCAGCACUUUCUGGAAUGGCUGCUUGUGCACGUUUUUACAGCAGUAUUGCAUGUGGCAGCCCACCCGGGAAGCAGCGGAGAUCUGGACUACUCCUACUCAUAUGGACUACUCAACAAAGUAGUUGCAACAGUGACUGAUAAUGGAUUCAACUUUGUCAAGGCGUUUAAAGUAUCAGCCUGUCACAGAAUCCAAUGAUGAGGAGGGAGAGUCUACCCCCACAGAUGAUGAUGAUGUCACUUUUUUAGAUGUGUCAGAAAUCCUCUCAGCUGAGGAUGAAAGUGAUGCCCAGCUGUCUCUUCCCCCGCACCACAGGUGUGCUUCACACACCAUCAACCUCAUUUCUACAAAUGAUGUGGAGAAAUAUUUAACUUCCAAUGCAGAGAGCAAGGCUGUGUAUAGGAGCAGCACAGCAAAAUGCACAGCUCUUUGGACCAAAUCAAGUAGAUCUACCCUUGCAUCAGAAACAGCAAAAGAAAGCUCUUGGUACCAACAUCCACAAGGCAGAAUUCCUUUUUUGAUGCUGUAAAGAGAAUUGCAGAUAUCCCCAUGACUGAGCUGAAUACUCUGUGCAUCAAGCUGGGAGUUAAGUGCUUCAAAGACAAAGAGUACCAGUUCCUGGAUGAGUACUGCACCGCCAUGAAGCCUCUGACAGCAGCACUGGACAUUUUGCAAGGCGACUGUCCUUAUGGGACUUUACUACCCAAACUUGAAGUUCUGAUGCAGAAGACCCUGGCUGUGAAAGAUGCCCUCUCCAGGAUGACUGCAGGCCUUCCAAAUGCCAUAGUGCAGGCUAUCCAGACACGUUUUGCCAGUGUGCUGGACGACAAAGAUGCUCUUCUCGCAGCUGCCAGUUGUCCAAAAUUCUAACUCCGAUGGCUGAGAGAUGCAGGUAGGAGGGAGCGAGGAAAAGAGCUUCUGACAGCAGAGUGCCGCCGCACAACAGCACAGAGCCCUGCCAGUGUGCCCACCACAUCUGACAGCCAAGGUGAGAUGGACUUUUUCACUUUUGAGGCAGAGCCAGAGGAGACCUACUCUGCAGAAUUGGAAUUCAUGAACUACCUGAGGUCAGCCUAUGACCUUCAGAUUGUGCAUCAGUUUCGUAACAUAAAGAAAAUGUUCUUAAAGUAUAACACUCCAACCCCAUCAAGUGCUCCUGUGGAGCAGCUUUUCAGUCUGAGAGGUUUGGUGCUCACUCCUAGAAGAAAAAUACUUUCUGACAAGAGGUUUGAGAAGCUUCUGUUAAUGAGGUACAACCACUGGUUUACUCGCCCCACUCCACUGUUUCACUCAUAACAUGCGAUUACAACAUAAGAUUAGGCCAAAGUUACAAAUGUUGACAUGAUAUCAGCCUACAUGGGGUGUUAUACACUUGUUUUGUUUUGUAAAACCACUCCUUGCUUCUCUAAUGCUGUGAACAACAGGUACAAUGUUCAUAAACAUGUUGAAAAAAAUGUAAUAGUUACAUUUAUAAACAAUGUAGAUCAUAAAUAGUAAGUUUUGCCAUUACAGUGUUGUCAAGAAAGACUGUCUUUAUUUUAUUUUUAUAAAAACAUGUAUUUUUUCAGGAAAUAGUUUUUAAGCUCAACUUAAAAUGUCAGGAGAUACAUUGUACAUUGUUGUUGUGUACAUAACUGUUAGGCGGGGUGUUGUCGGCAGUUGCUGAAUGUAACUAAUAAAGUAACUUGUAAUCUAAUUUAGUUACUUUUAAAAUCAAGUAAUCUAUAAAAUAGCUAAGAUACUUUUUAUAGGAGUAAUCAGUAAUCAGAUUACUUUUUCAAAGUAACUGUCGCACUACUGAGUAUAACCAGCAAAGCACCAUCACACCUACCCCUCCAAGCUUCACGUAGGAAACCACACACGUAACUCUUGACAAGGCAAACCUGUUAAUUGAAAACCAUUCCAGGUGACUACCGCAUGAAGCUGAUUGAAGAAAGCCAAGAGUGUUCAAGGCUGUCAUCAGAGCAAAAGGUGGCUCUUUUAGAAUCUAAAAUAUAAAACAUAUUAUGGUUUGUUUAAAACGGUAUGUGACUUUGUAGAAGUGAAACACAGAGUUUGUAUGGUCACAGCUGCUCAGUGAUUAACUGUGUCAUGAUCAGAGCAGAAUCUGCAGUUGGUUUGUACCGAACUGGAGUUUCUGUGUCCUCCUCGACUCUGCACUCACUGUAGCUAAUAAACACUCAUCACUAGUUAUCAGGACCUGAUCACCAGAUGAAGUUACUUAGUGUUUGUUUGAUUCGCUCCAGAGUUUGAGGCUGCAUUUAAAAAUCAUGAAAAUGACUCCUCAACAUGUUGUGCUCAGUACAACACAAGACGUGACGCUCACAGUCAGGACUCAGUGUUAAAAUGAGAGGAGCGACACGCAGACUUUAGAUUUAACAAUUAAUUGUGUAAAGGCUUAGUUGUUUGAUUUAAAAAAGAAAAGAAAAAAGUUUUAUUCAACCACCUAUAUUUGCUGAAAAUUAAAAGAGCAAAGGCUAAGGUGCCCCAAUCGUUUAGUAUAUUCGUUAUCUUUGAGUUUGUUUGUGGUUUGUUUAAGUUUGAUUUUAUUUAAUUUUUCAUCAUAAUCUUAAAAUUUGUAAAUUACCUUUAUUUUAAUGGGAUUGAAGCUUUAGAAUACACCAACUUGUAUCGGUAAAUGCCUUCAUCAGGGUGUACUGACACACAGAGACAAAGAGUAAUUAUUUGUAAUCACUUCAGGGAUGCAGGGUGAAAACAUGCAACACUGUCAGGGGAAAAAAUCGUAACAUUUAAACUGCCAUAAUUCAAACCGUCUAUUCUAUCAAAAAGCUGAGUACAUUUAAUACAUACAGUGGUGGCCAAAAUUAUUGGAACACCAGAGGUUUCAGUUGUUUUUGUUGAAUUGGCCAUUAAAAUACCCAUUAAACGAAUGAAAUAUCUACAAAGUCAUCAAUUAUGCUCUAUAAACCAUAGAAUAGAGCCAUCAUAAGGAGAUUUAGGUCAUUUUCCUUACAAAAAACAAGCUAGGCCUAUUUCACUGUCAAUGUUUAGACUGCCAUGAUGCCACCAAUUCACACCAGAACCGAAAGGGGAGAGGUAGAAAAAAGAAACUUUCUGACAGACAUAUGAAGCAUCUCAAAAUUCUCAGUCUUAAGGAUCGAAGAAAGGCCUCACGAGAACUGCGUGAUGAGAUCAACACCACAAUCACUGAUGAUGCAACAGUGUCUUCAAGAACUGUGCGACGGAAACUGGGGGAAGAAGGACUUGUUGGCAGAAUAGCAGCAAAAAAAAAAACAUUACUGAGAGAGAAAAAUGGAGUGAAAUGCCUGAAAUUUGCAAAAGAACACAAGAAAUGGACAAAGGAAGAUUGGUAUAAAGUGUUGUGGACUGAUGAGUCCAAGUUUGAAAUUUUGGCGACAAGCGAAGAGUGUUUGUUCGACGGAGGGUGGGGGAAAGAUAUAAAAAUGAGUAUCUCUUGCCAACAGUUAAAUACGGAGGGGGUAGUAUUAUGGAGUGGGGUGCCAUUUUCUAACUAUUGCCGGAACUACCUGCGACAGAAGGAAUCUGCUGGAACAUUGAAAAUGAUGGACUUGAACCCCAUUAAGCAAAUUUGGGGCGAGUUGGAAAAUAAACUGUAAAGAUCUAUUGUACAUUCAAAGGAAGCCUUUAGCUUGAGUUGCAGAAGGCAUGGGAUAAAAUUAGUGUUGAAGUUCUCAGGAAAUAUAUUGACAAUAUGCCAAAGAGAUGUGCUGCUGUAAUUGCUGCAAAAGGUGGACAUACCAAAUAUUGAAGUUAAAAGUGGAUAAAAACAGUAGGACUCACUUCAUCUGUUAUUUGUUUGUGCCCAGAGCAACCAUCUGCAUGUUUCAUGAACAUUAUGAAAUUAAAUCAUGUUUUGUAGGCAAAAAAAGGUCAAUUUUGUCAGAUCCUAAAGGUGUUCUAAUAAUUUUGGCCACCACUGUAUAUAUAUGUUUAGCUUAAACUAUGCAGAAGUAGUUUAUUUGAACAGUCCAUUCAUUAUCCAUUCACACAUAUUCAUACAGUGCAUCUAUGGGCACUUUUUUCUACAAGGGGCCAUCCAGGGUUCAGCAUCUUGCCUAAGGACAAUUCGGCAUGCAGGCUGGGAUUGAACCGCUGACUUUCUGUUUGGAGGACGACAGAUCUACCCCUCAGCCACUGCCGCCCGCCCACAGUUUGAAUGCACACAAGGCAGAAUCAACAUUCACACUUAAUGUCACAACACUCACCACAGUGAUAGGUUUCAUAAAUUCUGGUAAGAUUUACACCUUAUGCCAGAAAUUCGAUUUAAAAACUAGAAUAAAACCGUCUAUUUUAAAGUGGAUGGGGUUCAGUUUUUGAAUGCGGAAAUCCUGCUUAUUGCACAGCACAGAGCACAGUAGUUUGUUGAUUUAAAUUGUGAAACUUUUGACUACAUGCAAAACUGUUAUCAGCUAAAGUUCUUACAGCACGUUCAGACUUUCUAUUGCUGGUUUUUGUUGCAUGAAAGAACACAAUUGCUGUAAAAUCAUCUGCUAAAUGAUCGUCACAUUUUAAAAUGUUUCUGAUUUUAUGACACCAGUUUAUUUAUUUGUUUAUUGAUUAUCAGAAAAAUGCUUGCAACUGUUUUGAGUAUAUAUUCAUAUUUUUUAUUGAUUUUCCUGGCGAAAUGUCAACAUAAAUCCUCUUUACACCCUCCAAAAUUUCCGCUCUUCUCUGUUUUCCAUCUUUAUGAACUGUUUUUCCUAGGGAUUUGGUCGUUGAUCUGAAGCCGCCUCCUUGGAUCCUGGGAAACUGGAUCAGAGAUAUUUUAUAGACAAAUCCAUUAAUUGAUUUAGAAAAUAGUGGUAAAACUGAAUGAUAUUGAAAAUCAGCACCUCUAGUCAUUACUCAAAGCAGGGAUGUCAACACAGAACACUGGUUAUUAAGCUUCUUUAAGCUGACUUGUAUAAACCUUGUUUAGUGCACCAUACGUGACAAGAAUACAGUUAAUAGGUUUCUGUCAUUGUGUUUCUUUGCUGUUGGUUCAUCAGGUGACACCCCAGAGAAAGAGAGAGCUCCCCACACCCUGCUGGACUGGCAGGAGAGCAGUGAGACUGAAGAUAAGCAGCAGCCAUCUUGCUCCAAAUACACACCACAGAGUGUACCAGCAAAGUCCUCAUUCAGUCAAACAAGGACAAAUGUGGCCUGUGCCUUCCCAACUGUCCCAAGAAUGCCUGAGUGCAACAUGGAUGGGGUGAACCAUGAAUCUAAACUGGACAUCCUUGUAAUAAACUCAAACAGCUGCAGGGAGGCGCCGUCUUUUGGAAGGGGUUGAGAUGAUGAAGAGAAACCUCGUAGCAAUGUCAGGUCCCAGUAUCAGCCACUGCUGUGUAUUCAGAUCAGUGACUCCCCCAGUGAAGUGAUCUUUAACAGCCCCCCUGUUUCAAUCACAACAGUGGGGUCCCAGCAUCAGCAAACACAAUAUUCAUGGUCUGAAAUGGGGCAGAUGCACAGUGCUUGCUCCUCCAGUAAAAAACACGCCGUUAUGCCCACCAAUGCAAGCUGCGCAUCCAUGAGCGCGUCCACACGGGAGAGAAGCCAUGCCAGUGCACCCAUUGUGGGAAAAGCUUCGGCCAGUUCUGCGGCCUCAAGCGCCAUCAGAUGGUUCACACGGGGAAGAGGCCCUUCCCCUGCCCACAUUGCGGGAAGCAGUUGGCAACCUCCACCAACCUGACGGUCCACCAGAGUGUCCACACUGGGGAGAGGAAGUUCAACUGCUCCAAGUGUGGCAAGAACUCUCCUUCCUCAGCAACCUUAUCAGACACCAGGCUCUGCACUCUGUGAAGUAGAGCCAGUUACACCCUGUAUCGUCUUUUGGGAACAAAAUAAUAUGAGCAGCUUACAGUAGGCUGCAACAAGAACAAAACCACAAUGACUGAGGGCUGUUUGUCAUAUUCACAUGUUUGUGUCAUGGUCACAUGUUGUGUUAUGUUGCCAUUAUUGUGUACUGCUUAUAUUAUAGUGUCAUGUUCACGUUGUGUAACAUGCAUAUUAUUUAACAUAACAUCCAAUUCUUUAUUUGUUUACCUCAGUGAAAGUUGGAACCACAGUUAACCGCCACUCUUGUUAGUCUUUUGUAUACCCAACAUGGUGAAACAUGACAAAUGAAGUAACCAAAGUUCUCCAACUUAUGUUAUAAAACAUGAACUGCCUGUGCCAGUGGAUAACAUUAAUGCUACUUCUUUAACUGCAGUUUCCACCUCAAUUCAGCUAAAAGUAAAAAAAAGUUUUCAAAGCACCUAAAGGUUUAAGUAAACACAGAUGGAAAGCAACAGUUUGACCACUGUGAUUAGUGAAUCAUUUUGUUGCUAGACUUCAACCAGAGCUGCUGAAGCAGCAGUAUAGAGACAGGGAAACUGACUUACGAUGAGAGACAUGGGGGAGGAGGACAGAGGUCAAUAGGGAGAGGCAAUGAGAAAUGAAGAAAGAAGGUUAUGAUUCGGAGAUUGACAGCAAACAGACAUACGGUGUUACUGUUAUGUCUCUAUAUAUAAACAAUAUAUAGAGCUUUUGCUAUGUGUUAUUUAUGGUACAAUUUGGAAUAAUCUUGCCCUGUCCGUUUUUCCAAAUGACAGGGCUGAGGACUAACCUAUAGAACUAACUGGCAGAUGAUGCUCAUAUGAUACCGAACUGAAAUUGGAUGAUGAACAAAUAUUUCCCAAAAUUAUGCUCAAUCACAUUUCCCCAAAAUUAGUACUGUAGCAUAGUAAGCAGGAGACCCUGAAUCUGUGACGUGAUUUUGGUGACAAUAUACAGUAUGAGACCGAAGUUAUUGAAUAAUAGUCAUAUUUAAUAUUUCCCCAAAUAAUGCUAAAUCACUUUUUCCCAAACUUAGUACUGUAGCAUAGUCAGCAGGAGACCCUGGACCUUUGACAUGAUUUUCAUAUUUGUCCGCCUGAAAAAGGCUACAAGGAGCCGCAGUAGCUAUGUAAAUAAACAAUCGAUGAAGAAGAAAGAAGGCGUCUCUCAGGUCGUCUUCGACAAAAAGCAUUACUCCGCCUAGUGUUCUGGCGCGGAAUUGCUUUGUAAGAUGCGCAACGGUUGGGGAAGCAUGAAUGACAACGAGUCUUGCGCCACAGCGGCGUGAAAAGACGCAGACGCAGUCGCAGAAGCAUGUUUCAGGCUUAAGCAAGCUGUACGUAGACACCAAUGUUCUGUGCCCGUCACGGAGGACGACUCAUAUUGAUGAUAAUAACUGGCCUGUAGCCCGUUGUCCACAUUACUACUGUGGAAAUUAUGCAGCGUUUGUGCUUUAACAACAUUUCGCUUAUGACUUACUGAUCCGGGAAGUCCGAAUCUGUGAAUAUCUUGCCAACUUUACUGGACUCGGAGCCGCAGGGAGAACUUGGCGCUGAAGAGCCGCCUGUGGAUGAUGGAGGUCCGAGCCGGGGAGAGCUCCCAUAGAGAGCCCUUACCGUCUAUGGUGGUCACCUGUGCUCGGAGAGGUUAGCUCGCUCCGUCACAAACUAAUGCAUCUAAUUACUAACACUGACAUGGGUCCAGUCAUAAAUAUAGCAUUUUAACAUCAUGAUAUUGCUGCUGUCUGCUCUGAUGCUCCGAUGAUCAUUGCAGUUCACUGAUAAGUCGAUGAGCCAAUCCACAUUAAUUUAAACAGCAAGUAAUCAGAAUAUUUGUGUUAUACCCAAUGAAUAUCAAUUUAACCGUGUCAGCUUGUGCAUUGUAAGAAUUUGAUGUUUUAGUCACGUUGAAUAAUACACUGAAUACUCGUGGAUUGUUGAUCUGAUGUUAUAAAUUACACUCUUUACACGGUA
Long non-coding RNA from Pleuronectes platessa (European plaice), 7853 nucleotides. RefSeq lists it as uncharacterized. The transcript is spliced from 2 exons. NCBI's taxonomy places the organism in Eukaryota, Metazoa, Chordata, Actinopteri, Pleuronectiformes, Pleuronectidae. The record is from RefSeq and is a predicted model, not a curated record.